UGAUUAUUAUCUCAGAUGGUAAAGAAUCUGCCUGCAAUGCAGGAGACCUGGGCUCAAUCCCUGAUCAG
RNAcentral lists this transfer RNA (68 nucleotides) under Bos taurus (domestic cattle). It matches the Rfam family "tRNA". From Rfam's summary of the family: Transfer RNA (tRNA) molecules are approximately 80 nucleotides in length. Their secondary structure includes four short double-helical elements and three loops (D, anti-codon, and T loops). Further hydrogen bonds mediate the characteristic L-shaped molecular structure. tRNAs have two regions of fundamental functional importance: the anti-codon, which is responsible for specific mRNA codon recognition, and the 3' end, to which the tRNAs corresponding amino acid is attached (by aminoacyl-tRNA synthetases). tRNAs cope with the degeneracy of the genetic code in two manners: having more than one tRNA (with a specific anti-codon) for a particular amino acid; and 'wobble' base-pairing, i.e. permitting non-standard base-pairing at the 3rd anti-codon position. RNAcentral also lists the same sequence under 2 other names. Lineage: Eukaryota; Metazoa; Chordata; Mammalia; Artiodactyla; Bovidae. The record is from Rfam by way of RNAcentral.